RNAcentral lists this ribosomal RNA (349 nucleotides) under uncultured bacterium. Its description in RNAcentral is "partial 16S ribosomal RNA". It matches the Rfam family "Bacterial small subunit ribosomal RNA", at positions 338 to 684 of the family's 1533-position model. The record is from RNAcentral.
CCUACGGGCGUCAGCAGUGAGGAAUAUUGGUCAAUGGCCGUAAGGCUGAACCAGCCAAGUAGCGUGAGGGACUACUGCCCUAUGGGUUGUAAACCUCUUUUAUGCGGGGAUCAAGGUGUCCACUUGUGGCUGUUUGCAGGUACCGCAUGAAUAAGGACCGGCUAAUUCCGUGCCAGCAGCCGCGGUAAUACGGAAGGUACGGGCGUUAUCCGGAUUUAUUGGGGUUAACGGGAGCGUAGGCCGGUCUUUAAGCGUGCCGUGAAAUUUUGGGGCUCAACCAUGGGAGCGCGGCGCGAACUGGAGACCUUGAGUGCGAGGAAGGCAGGCGGAAUUCGCGGUGUAGCGGUGA